UGUGUGGUGGCUGAGUGAUAAGCGAUAGGCUGUAAAUCUAUUAACGAAGUUAGAUUCUUCCCAACAA
Molecule: transfer RNA, 67 nt
Filed under: Murex trapa
Lineage: Eukaryota; Metazoa; Mollusca; Gastropoda; Neogastropoda; Muricidae
Description: tRNA-Tyr
Rfam family: tRNA
About the family: Transfer RNA (tRNA) molecules are approximately 80 nucleotides in length. Their secondary structure includes four short double-helical elements and three loops (D, anti-codon, and T loops).
Source: RNAcentral